RNAcentral lists this ribosomal RNA (231 nucleotides) under uncultured bacterium. RNAcentral's name for it is "partial 16S ribosomal RNA". It matches the Rfam family "Bacterial small subunit ribosomal RNA", at positions 524 to 745 of the family's 1533-position model. The record is from RNAcentral.
UACGUAGGGGUGCAAGCGUUGUCCGGAAUUACAUGGGGCGUUAAAGGGCGCGGUAGGCCGGCCGAGCAAAGUUCAGAUGUGAAAGUCCUGGGCUUAACCUGGGACUGCAUUUGAUACUGGCUUGGCUUGAAUUCGGGAGAGGAUAGCGGAAUUCCCAGUGAGAGGUGAAAUUCGUAGAUAUUGGGAAGAACACCGGUGGCGAAGGCGGCUAUCUGGACCGACAAUUGAACG